RNAcentral lists this long non-coding RNA (388 nucleotides) under Malus domestica (apple). RNAcentral describes it as "long non-coding RNA (MDOM_LNC020211)". Lineage: Eukaryota; Viridiplantae; Streptophyta; Magnoliopsida; Rosales; Rosaceae. The record is from RNAcentral.
UAGAGAAUCCUUUCUUGAAGAAAAGGAAGAUCACAUUAUAAUGAUAUAAGUUAUAAGAAAAACGUUUCUUAUAUGGUUGUCACUUGAAGCACAAUGAUCAAGAUCACUCUUGAUUCAAUUAGUAGUUUUGAACAACUAAUUGGGCAUUCUUAAAAUUGUUUUCAAAUGUCAAUUGUGUUAGUGAUUAAACCAAGAAAGAAGUGUCUAAAUCUAUAAAAUGUUUAAAGACUUUAGUCACUUAAAUAACAAGACAUUAAACUUAGUGAAGAUUGAAACAAAUAAGCUUGAAAUGUUUUAAAGCUACUACACAAUGUCUUCUACCAAUAUACUCCACUUUUAUACAUUUUGAAUGUAUGAAAUGAUUUCUCAUUAAAGUCAUGAGAAAUAG